This is a long non-coding RNA of Gorilla gorilla gorilla (western lowland gorilla), 1307 nucleotides long. RefSeq lists it as uncharacterized. Lineage: Eukaryota; Metazoa; Chordata; Mammalia; Primates; Hominidae. The transcript is spliced from 3 exons. The record is from RefSeq and is a predicted model, not a curated record.
GGCUGAUAGUCCACUAUGUUAUCAAGUUCAAAGCCUAAGAAAUAUUGAACAUUUCCACACAUCAAUGUGGGUACUAUGUUUAAUUUGAGAAUGGCCAACUGUCCUCGAAGUCUCAAUCUCUUUGGAGCCUACCAGCUCCGAGAGAAGUUUGAGGAUGCUGCAACACCCUCCCCUGCAAAUCCAUCUACUCCUCCCACUUCUAUCCUAAUGGGUAUAGUUCUUGGCUGUGCUGAGGAUCUGUAAGGCACCAGAUGUGAAAGUAAGGAAGAGAGAUGGAUGUGGAAGAAAGUCACUGCCCAGAGAAUAAGGAGACCUGGAUUCUAAUCUCAGCUCUGCCAUUAACUAGCUAUGAAACUAUGGCUCAAAAGGGAAUAAGAGAUCAAGGCAAGCAUGGACAUCUUGUACAUGGAAGUGCAGACCAGAACUUGUAUCACAGCCAGUCAUAUCCGGUGCUUUCCAUGCUACUUUUACAUACAUGUAUCCUUAAAUUUGAUCCUCUUCUAGUUUAGUCUAAACUCUUUACUUUGUAACUUCCAAACCUAAAAGGUGCAGCAGACAUUGACAAUCUUAAUUCAUUUGUCAGGUCAUUUGGUUUCUUGGUUUCCUAAGGGACUGUAUCCUUCCUGCCCUGCUAAUGGGGAGACUUUUUUGUUUUUUGUUUUCUGUUUUCCUUAAUAAGUGAGGCCAAGUGCUGUGUGUAACUGUGGGGUGGGCAAAAUUAGGAUUCCUGAAUCACUUCGCUUUUUGUUGCCUUUCUCUUGGGAGAAUGGUUACCAUUGCCGAGAAGCAUAGUUAAAAUUGCUUUUGUGUUUCAUAAACGAAUUCAUACUUAGAUGUCAUUGACCAACAACUAAAUAGUAUAUCAGAGAUGAAAGGCAUCCUAGAGAUGACCAAAUCAAGCUCUUCAUUACUCAAAGGAGAAAAAAAUCCAGAAAGUGGAUGACAUAUGUUGAACUAGUGAUGGAAGUAGAACAGGGUAGUGUAUUUUCUGCCUCUUAAUUCUUCAUUUUUUACAGUAAACCUGAUAUUAGGUAUAUGACUAGGAAGAUAUGUGAGGUAAGGAGCAGAGGGUUUGGCUCCAAAAUCAUCAUGUAAUCAUCCUCCUCCAAGCUCUGAGAGCUUCUCUCACAUGUUAAUUCAGAGGCAGUAACAAAAGAAUUAAUGCUCCUGAAGGUUUCUCAAUUUUAUCAUCUGGAAAGUGGAGUGAAUCUUUGCAGAGCCCUUCUGAAGAGGGCCGACCUUGGACUGCACUAGGUUAUAUUCAUUUGCUAUUACUCAGCAAUAAAAAGUAAAUGCAACAAUAUAAA